Long non-coding RNA from Onychostoma macrolepis, 432 nucleotides. RefSeq lists it as uncharacterized. NCBI's taxonomy places the organism in Eukaryota, Metazoa, Chordata, Actinopteri, Cypriniformes, Cyprinidae. The transcript has 5 exons. The record is from RefSeq and is a predicted model, not a curated record.
GGGUGAUAUCGUGCCUGCGUGUUUCUGUUUUCGCGCACUUUUGUGUGGUUGUCGAUGCUAACGUGAAGGACGAGUGGCGUCGUGCUUGAUCGAUCCAGCUUUUCUAUAAAAUUAACGUGUUUCUGAUGUUGUGCACAUUGAGUUCUUUUCAAAGCUGACGUGCCAGAUAAAUCCAGCUUUUCUAUAAAAUCACUGGUGAGUGACAUUACCAAACAUCGUAAAACAACGGCUCUUGAGGGAUUGCUACUUUUCCUGCUUGAGAAGUCAGCAAAUUUGCUCAAGAUAUGCCUGGAUACGAAUUCUGUGAACUGCUGCACCAAAGGUGUAAAGAUUGGAAUUCUGACUGUGGAGGAAGAUGAUGUUGCCGGUGUUACAUCGCAGCCCACUGUUAUCAACAUGGCCAUAAUCUUGGAGGAGGCCAUUGUGCUUGAG